This is a non-coding RNA of Tachyglossus aculeatus (Australian echidna), 404 nucleotides long. Lineage: Eukaryota; Metazoa; Chordata; Mammalia; Monotremata; Tachyglossidae. The record is from the annotation of a RefSeq genome assembly.
CUGUUGCCACAACCCCCACCAUGCAGUCUACCCUCAGUCUGCUUUUCAUCCUCGCCCUACUCCAAGGUGUCCAGGGUGAUGUCCAGCUGGUGGAGUCUGGGGGAGAUGUGAUACAGCCUGGGGGGUCACUGCGCCUCUCUUGUAAAGCCUCUGGAUUUACCUUCAGUAACUACUAUAUGAGCUGGAUCCGCCAAGCUCCAGGGAAGGGGCUGGAGUGGAUUGGUGUGAUACGUAAUGUAGCUAAUUCACAAACUACAGAGUACGCCGCAUCAGUGAAAGGCCGAUUCACCAUCUCCAGGGACAAUGCCAACAGCCAGCUGUAUCUGCAAAUGAACAGCCUGAAAACCGAGGACAUGGCCCUCUACUACUGUGCAAGAGACACAGUGAGAGAAACCACAUCCUGA